CCAACGUGUAUAUCCCGGGAGGUCACUCUCCCCGGGCUCUGUCCUAGUGGCGUAGGGGAGCAUAGGGCUCUGUCCCAUGAUGUACAGUCCCUUUCCACAACGUUGGAGAUGAAGCUGGGCUUCGAGUCUGCGGCCUGCAUAUUCCUACAACUUCCCAGAGUUCUAGACAAUGACUGGGGAGACAAACCAUGCAGGAAACAGUC
This 203-nucleotide small nucleolar RNA is filed under the name Nannospalax galili (Upper Galilee mountains blind mole rat). RNAcentral describes it as "Small nucleolar RNA SNORA73 family (ENSNGAG00000006248.1)". It matches the Rfam family "Small nucleolar RNA SNORA73 family". Rfam says of the family: U17 (SNORA73A and SNORA73B) also known as E1 belongs to the H/ACA class of small nucleolar RNAs (snoRNAs). Vertebrate U17 is intron-encoded and ranges in length from 200-230 nucleotides, longer than most snoRNAs. The record is from Rfam by way of RNAcentral. Lineage: Eukaryota; Metazoa; Chordata; Mammalia; Rodentia; Spalacidae.